AGGCAUCAAAGUCAAACUUUGUGGAGCUGGUCCAAACCUUGCUGGAAGACCCAGCGAAGAGGGAACACUUUUUUCAGGAGGUGUUCCCAGUGCAGUACGGUACUAAGUAUGACACAGCACUGCAGAUUCUGGUGUGGGAGUUCUUCUCCAGAUUGGAGGAGCUGCUGCCGGUGCCCAGCUUUACACAGACAGCAUCUUGUCUCAGCCUUGCCUUCUCUGACCUGGAG
Long non-coding RNA from Salvelinus namaycush (lake trout), 227 nucleotides. RefSeq lists it as uncharacterized. The record is from RefSeq and is a predicted model, not a curated record. NCBI's taxonomy places the organism in Eukaryota, Metazoa, Chordata, Actinopteri, Salmoniformes, Salmonidae. The transcript is spliced from 3 exons.